RNAcentral lists this ribosomal RNA (444 nucleotides) under uncultured soil bacterium. RNAcentral's name for it is "bacterial SSU rRNA". It matches the Rfam family "Bacterial small subunit ribosomal RNA", at positions 26 to 518 of the family's 1533-position model. The record is from RNAcentral.
AGAACGAACGCUGGCGGCAUGCCUAACACAUGCAAGUCGAACGAGACCUUCGGGUCUAGUGGCGCACGGGUGCGUAACGCGUGGGAAUCUGCCCUUGGGUUCGGGAUAACAGUUGGAAACGACUGCUAAUACCGGAUGAUGUCUUCGGACCAAAGAUUUAUCGCCCAGGGAUGAGCCCGCGUAAGAUUAGCUAGUUGGUGGGGUAAAAGCCUACCAAGGCGACGAUCUUUAGCUGGUCUGAGAGGAUGAUCAGCCACACUGGGACUGAGACACGGCCCAGACUCCUACGGGAGGCAGCAGUGGGGAAUAUUGGACAAUGGGCGAAAGCCUGAUCCAGCAAUGCCGCGUGAGUGAUGAAGGCCUUAGGGUUGUAAAGCUCUUUUACCCGGGAUGAUAAUGACAGUACCGGAGAAUAAGCCCGGCUAACUCCGCGCCAGCAGCCGC